AGUGAACGCUGGCGGUAGGCCUAACACAUGCAAGUCGAACGGCAGCACAGUAAGAGCUUGCUCUUACGGGUGGCGAGUGGCGGACGGGUGAGGAAUACAUCGGAAUCUACUUUUUCGUGGGGGAUAGCGUAGGGAAACUUACGCUAAUACCGCAUACGACCUACGGGUGAAAGCAGGGGAUCUUCGGACCUUGCGCGAUUGAAUGAGCCGAUGUCGGAUUAGCUAGUUGGCGGGGUAAAGGCCCACCAAGGCGACGAUCCGUAGCUGGUCUGAGAGGAUGAUCAGACACACUGGAACUGAGACACGGUCCAGACUCCUACGGGAGGCAGCAGUGGGGAAUAUUGGACAAUGGGCGCAAGCCUGAUCCAGCCAUACCGCGUGGGUGAAGAAGGCCUUCGGGUUGUAAAGCCCUUUUGUUGGGAAAGAAAAGCAGCAGGUUAAUACCCCGCUGUUCUGACGGUACCCAAAGAAUAAGCACCGGCUAACUUCGUG
This 492-nucleotide ribosomal RNA is filed under the name uncultured bacterium. RNAcentral's name for it is "partial 16S ribosomal RNA". It matches the Rfam family "Bacterial small subunit ribosomal RNA", at positions 29 to 507 of the family's 1533-position model. The record is from RNAcentral.